Molecule: long non-coding RNA, 1551 nt
Filed under: Cicer arietinum (chickpea)
Lineage: Eukaryota; Viridiplantae; Streptophyta; Magnoliopsida; Fabales; Fabaceae
Description: long non-coding RNA (CARI_LNC001102)
Source: RNAcentral
GGAGGUGGAGGUGACGGGGAUGGUGGUGGAGGUGAUUUGUAAUAGUAGGGAGGUGGUGGAGAUGGCGAUGGUGGUGGUGGAGAGUGAUAGUAGUAUGGGGGAGGAGGGGACGGAGAAGGUGGGGGUGGGCUCUUGUAAUAGUAUGGAGGUGGAGGAGAUGGAGAUGGUGGAGGGGGACUCUUGUAGUAGUAAGGAGGUGGUGGAGAUGGCGAUGGUGGUGGUGGAGAGUGGUAGUAGUAUGGGGGAGGAGGGGAGGGAGACGGUGGAGGUGGACUCUUGUAAUAGUACGGAGGUGGAGGGGAUGGAGAUGGUGGAGGGGGACUCUUGUAAUAGUAUGGAGGUGGAGGUGAUGGGGAUGGUGGUGGAGGUGAUUUGUAGUAAUAAGGAGGUGGUGGAGAUGGCGAUGGUGGUGGUGGAGACUUGUAGUAGUAAGGUGGGGGAGGGGAUGGUGAGGGUGGUGGAGGAGAUUUGUAAUAGUAUGGAGGUGGAGGGGAUGGUGAUGGUGGAGGUGGUGACUUGUAAUAGUAUGGUGGAGGAGGGGAUGGUGAUGGUGGUGGUGGAGACUUGUAGUAGUAAGGUGGGGGAGGGGAUGGUGAAGGUGGUGGAGGAGACUUGUAGUAGUAAGGUGGGGGAGGGGAUGGUGAAGGUGGUGGAGGAGACUUGUAGUAGUAAGGUGGGGGAGGGGAUGGUGAAGGUGGUGGAGGAGACUUGUAAUAGUAUGGUGGAGGAGGGGAUGGUGAUGGUGGGGGUGGUGACUUAUAGUAGUAUGGUGGGUGUGGAAUUUCUUUAGGUGGGGGAGGAGAAUGAUAAUAGUAUGGUGGAGGGGGGGAUGAUCUUGGAGGUGGAGGAGAUUUGUAAUAGUAUAAGGUGGGGGAGGGGAUGGUGAAGGUGGUGGAGGAGACUUGUAGUAGUAAGGUGGGGGAGGGGAUGGUGAAGGUGGUGGAGGAGACUUGUAAUAGUAUGGUGGAGGAGGGGAUGGUGAUGGUGGGGGUGGUGACUUAUAGUAGUAUGGUGGGUGUGGAAUUUCUUUAGGUGGGGGAGGAGAAUGAUAAUAGUAUGGUGGAGGGGGGGAUGAUCUUGGAGGUGGAGGAGAUUUGUAAUAGUAUGGAGGUGGAGGGGAUGGAGAUGGUGGUGGUGGAGACUUGUAGUAAUAAGGUGGAGAAUAAUAAUGGACGGGUGGAGGCGGAGAUUUGUACUUAUAGACUGGUGUUGGAGGAGGAGGUGAUUUGUAGUAGUAAGGAGGGUUAGGUAUAGGUGAUGGUGGAGGUGGAGACUUGUAGUAAUAUGGAGGAGAAUAGUAAUGUACAGGUGGAGGUGGAGACUUGUACACGUAAGUAGGUGAUGGUGGAGGUGGUGACUUGUACAAGUAAGUAGGUGAUGGUGGAGGAGGUGAUUUGUACAAGUAAGUUGGUGAUGGUGGUGGUGGGGAAUUGUACUUGUAAACUGGUGUUGGAGGAGGAGGUGACUUGUAGUAGUAAGGAGGUGUAGGUACAGGAGAUGGUGGAGGUGGAGAAUUGUAAUAAUAAGGGGGUGAUUUCACAGGAGGGGGAG